AGACCCGCCGGCCCGCCCCGGACCCACUCCGCCCAAAGGCCUGGUUGGCUGCGGCCGCUCGGAGGGACCCGCCUCAGGUACAAGUAGUAAGUCCAGUGCAUUUUCAGCAGUAGACUUUCUUCUGGAUCUGUCUGUGAAGUCAGAGCCACAUGUACCAUCCUGAUUCUGUGUUUUAUUCACUGCUGUGAGAACCACAGUGCCCAGAGGACCCCAAGCCAGCAAAGGCACAUCAGCGUGGAACCAAUGAAGGUCCAGGAGAGGGUCAUUUCUGUGUGUACCGUCGUGUUGGGACAGGACUUCCAGCAUCAUCCUAGUGGCGACCUGUUUCCUAUUCAGAGGUUCCAGAACACUGGGUCAGUUCCAAGGUGACCCAGACUGAGAAGGAGACGUGAGCAAGAAAAAUCAUUGCGCCUGCUUCACAGAGACAGAUCUGAAGCACUAGGCUGCUCCACCUGAGUCCGAUGGCGGCGGCAGCACUGAGGGACCCGCAUCAGGUAACCCUCGUCCUCUGGGCCCUCACCCUACCAGACACUAAA
This 536-nucleotide long non-coding RNA is filed under the name Moschus moschiferus (Siberian musk deer). Its description in RNAcentral is "lncRNA (ENSMMSG00000003147.1)". Lineage: Eukaryota; Metazoa; Chordata; Mammalia; Artiodactyla; Moschidae. The record is from RNAcentral.